AAUACAAAUAUCUAUAUAUUACUAAACAAAUCAUUUGACCUCCCAAGUAGAUGCGAUCGAACAGAAAAUCUCACUAGUAGUACCGCAAGGGAAAUUAUAAAGCAAUAAAUAGCAAAGAUCAACCCUUGUACCUUUUGUAUCAUGGUUUAGCAAGUAAAACAGAACAAGAAGUAUCCAAGCUCCACCCCCGAAACUAGAUGAGCUACUUUAAAGCAGCCUACCGGGCACACCCUUCUCUGUAGCAAAAGAGUGGGAAGACUUAAAAGUAGAAGUGAAACGCUUACCGAAUCUAGAGAUAGCUGGCUACCCAAUAAAAGAAUCUAAGUUCCACUUUAGAACUAAAAAUAACUACUUAUUAUCUAAAGAUAAUCAAUAGGGGUACAGCUCUAUUGAAACAGGAUACAACCUGAAUUUGAGAGAACACAUAACUCCCUUUCCAGUAGGCCUUAAAGCAGCCACCUCAUACAAUAUCGUUAAAGAAUUAACUUAAAAACUCAGCCCCUUCAAAUCAACUCCAAACAAACUAAAGGUAGACCCAUAUUUUAUGGGUGUUAUUAUGCUAAAACUAAUAAUAAGACAACCUCUCUAUAACGCACCCGUCCGCUAGAACGGAUAACCCACUAGCCAUUAACAGACCACAAUAGGUAACAAACAAAUCAAUACAUGCCUUUAUAUAAACUGUGACUCCAACACAGGUGCACAAACAAGAAAGAUCAACCACUAUAAAAGGAACUCGGCAACCACUGACCCCAUCUGUUUAUCAAAAACAUAACCUUUAGCUAUACCAAUAUUAAAGGCAACGCCUGCCCAGUGAAUAAUUUAACGGCCGCGGUAUCCUAACCGUGCAAAGGUAGCAUAAUCAUUUGUCUAUUAAUUGCAGACCAGCAUGAAUGGCAAAAUGAGGGUCCAACUGUCUCUUAUAGUAAAUCCAUUAAACUGAUCCCCUAGUAAAAAAGCUAGAAUAAUAACAUAAGACCAGAAGACCCUGUGAAGCUUAAACUAAACCAUUAACCUAAAUAAUGACUACUUUCGGUUGGGGCGACCCUGGAAAAAAAUAGAACUUCCAACCUGUAUAUUUCAUACAAUAUUAGGCCUACAAGCCAUUUACGACCCAGCAUAGCUGAUAAUUGAACCAAGUUACUCCAGGGAUAACAGCGCUAUCUUCUUCAAGAGCCCAUAUCAAAAAGAAGGUUUACGACCUCGAUGUUGGAUCAGGACACCCCAAUGGUGUAGCCGCUAUCAAAGGUUCGUUUGUUCAACGAUUAAUAGUCCUACGUGAUCU
This 1282-nucleotide ribosomal RNA is filed under the name Plagiopholis styani. RNAcentral's name for it is "partial 16S ribosomal RNA". It matches the Rfam family "Bacterial large subunit ribosomal RNA", at positions 440 to 2606 of the family's 2925-position model. The record is from RNAcentral. Lineage: Eukaryota; Metazoa; Chordata; Lepidosauria; Squamata; Colubridae.